GCCUUGGUAGCUUAAAUGUUGAGAGCGUGGCGCUGAAGAUGCUAAGGCGGGAAGGUUUCCUCCAGGGCA
Molecule: transfer RNA, 69 nt
Filed under: Haliotis ovina
Lineage: Eukaryota; Metazoa; Mollusca; Gastropoda; Lepetellida; Haliotidae
Description: tRNA-Phe
Rfam family: tRNA
About the family: Transfer RNA (tRNA) molecules are approximately 80 nucleotides in length. Their secondary structure includes four short double-helical elements and three loops (D, anti-codon, and T loops). Further hydrogen bonds mediate the characteristic L-shaped molecular structure. tRNAs have two regions of fundamental functional importance: the anti-codon, which is responsible for specific mRNA codon recognition, and the 3' end, to which the tRNAs corresponding amino acid is attached (by aminoacyl-tRNA synthetases). tRNAs cope with the degeneracy of the genetic code in two manners: having more than one tRNA (with a specific anti-codon) for a particular amino acid; and 'wobble' base-pairing, i.e. permitting non-standard base-pairing at the 3rd anti-codon position.
Source: RNAcentral